Molecule: small nuclear RNA, 141 nt
Filed under: Sorex araneus (European shrew)
Lineage: Eukaryota; Metazoa; Chordata; Mammalia; Eulipotyphla; Soricidae
Description: U1 spliceosomal RNA (ENSSARG00000019062.1)
Rfam family: U1 spliceosomal RNA
About the family: U1 is a small nuclear RNA (snRNA) component of the spliceosome (involved in pre-mRNA splicing).
Source: RNAcentral
GAAUUUACCUUUCAGGGGAGGCACCAUUAUCACAUAGGUAGUUUUUUCCAGGGUGAGGCUUACCCUUGCCAGAUGUGCUACUCCUGUCAUUUCCCCAAAUGUGGGAAACUAGACUGCAUCAUUUGUGAUAGUAGGGUACAA